UUACUUUCUUUUCUAAGCAAAUGCACAUGUAUUUUCAUAUUGAGUUUGUGCAACUAUUACGGCAAGGAACACAUGCAUAUUAUGACUGAUCAGAGACCUAUUAUUAGAUCCCCACACAUGCACUUAAUGAUUAUAGGAAGGCCUCAGGAGUUCAUAUUUGUUUAAUGCAUUUUUGUUAAGCCGUAUCUGUAAAAGAAGUAUGAGUAUCCUUGUCCGUACUAUAAGGUUCAUGAUUUGGUUUUCACAUAAAGAAAGAAGUUGAAUACCCUAGCUAGAUCACCUAAGUGCCUUAUGUUCCGACCUUGGUUGACCUAUAGCCACAAUGCAGUCACGUUAUAUGGUUCAGUUUACCUUCUCUUUUUAUUAGACAAAAAAAAAAA
Molecule: long non-coding RNA, 380 nt
Filed under: Phoenix dactylifera (date palm)
Lineage: Eukaryota; Viridiplantae; Streptophyta; Magnoliopsida; Arecales; Arecaceae
Description: long non-coding RNA (PDAC_LNC011041)
Source: RNAcentral